CACAGCCAGCUAGCUACUGCACUUCACUACCUACUGAGAAUUAUCAGUUAGCACAGAAGCGCGGAAUAGCACAUUGCAUACAAUACAGGGGCAGUGUGGCCUUGUCAUAACUGUCAUCAUAUGGCUUAGGCUCUAUGCAGUCAUCUGGAUCCCUCACACCAUCAAAGUAACAGUGGGCUAGUGCUCCAUCAGCUGUAAGGCGGACAUCAGCAUCCAAAACCAGCAUCUUCUUCAACAGGUCCACCGCUGUGCAUCCAGUUCAGAAUGACCUCAGGUGCUCUGUACCACCUCGUCACAACAUAACCUGUCAUCUCUGGAUCUGCAUGCCGUGCCAGGCCAAAAUCCAAGAUCUGCAGCCAUGGAUAAAUAACACAGUUAAUACCUCACAAAUCCCUUCAACCACGUCUUCAAGAAAAUUCAAGAGCAUUUACCAACAUAGACUUUGACAAGCUACCGUGUUACCAUGAAAUCAAAAGCGAUAUUAACCAACCUUUAGCUCGCAGUCUUGAUUUACAGCCAGGUUGCCUGGUUUAAGAUCC
Trichomycterus rosablanca is the source of this 539-nucleotide long non-coding RNA. RefSeq lists it as uncharacterized. NCBI's taxonomy places the organism in Eukaryota, Metazoa, Chordata, Actinopteri, Siluriformes, Trichomycteridae. The transcript is spliced from 3 exons. The record is from RefSeq and is a predicted model, not a curated record.